UACGUAGGGGGCAAGCGUUGUCCGGAAUCAUUGGGCGUAAAGAGCGCGUAGGCGGCCCUGUAAGUCCGCUGUGAAAGUCAAGGGCUCAACCCUUGAAUGCCGGUGGAUACUGCAGGGCUAGAGUCCGGAAGAGGCGAGUGGAAUUCCUGGUGUAGCGGUGAAAUGCGCAGAUAUCAGGAGGAACACCAAUGGCGAAGGCAGCACUCUGGGACGUGACUGACGCUGAGACGCGAAAGCGUGGGGAGCAAACAGG
RNAcentral lists this ribosomal RNA (253 nucleotides) under uncultured bacterium. Its description in RNAcentral is "partial 16S ribosomal RNA". It matches the Rfam family "Bacterial small subunit ribosomal RNA", at positions 524 to 776 of the family's 1533-position model. The record is from RNAcentral.